RNAcentral lists this ribosomal RNA (910 nucleotides) under uncultured Bacteroidales bacterium. Its description in RNAcentral is "bacterial SSU rRNA". It matches the Rfam family "Bacterial small subunit ribosomal RNA", at positions 8 to 916 of the family's 1533-position model. Lineage: Bacteria; Pseudomonadati; Bacteroidota; Bacteroidia; Bacteroidales. The record is from RNAcentral.
AGAGUUUGAUCCUGGCUCAGGAUGAACGCUAGCGGGAGGCCUAACACAUGCAAGUCGAACGGGAUUGAGAGCUUGCUCUCAUGAGAGUGGCGCACGGGUGAGUAACGCGUAUGCAACCUGCCCUUGACAGGGGGAUAGCCCGGAGAAAUCCGGAUUAAUACCCCAUGGUAUUUAAGUUCCGCAUGGGAUUUAAAUUAAAGAUUUAUCGGUCAGGGAUGGGCAUGCGUGACAUUAGCUAGUUGGCGGGGUAACGGCCCACCAAGGCUACGAUGUCUAGGGGUUCUGAGAGGAUGAUCCCCCACACUGGUACUGAGACACGGACCAGACUCCUACGGGAGGCAGCAGUGAGGAAUAUUGGUCAAUGGGCGCAAGCCUGAACCAGCCAUCCCGCGUGAAGGAUGAAGGUCCUAUGGAUUGUAAACUUCUUUUGUGCACCAAGAAUUGGCCUUACGAGUAAGGUUUUGACGGUAGUGCACGAAUAAGCAUCGGCUAACUCCGUGCCAGCAGCCGCGGUAAUACGGAGGAUGCAAGCGUUAUCCGGAUUCAUUGGGUUUAAAGGGUACGUAGGCGGCCUGUUAAGUCAGUGGUGAAAGUUUGCGGCUUAACCGUAAAAUUGCCAUUGAUACUGACAGGCUUGAGUACAGUUGAGGUAGGCGGAAUGUGUAGUGUAGCGAUGAAAUGCUUAGAUAUUACACAGAACUCCGAUUGCGAAGGCAGCUAGCUGGGGCAAUCCUGACGCUGAGGGACGAAAGCGUGGGGAUAAAAAAGGAUUAGAUACCCUUGUAUUCCACGCCCUAAACGAUGAGCACUAGCUAUUGCAAGUGUCGACCCUUGCAGUGGCUAAGCUAACGCGUUAAGUGCUCCGCCUGGGAAGUACGGCCGCAAGGCUAAAACUCAAAGGAAUUGACGG